GGAAUUGAAAAUGUAGUUCUCUGGGAAAAAAAAAUUAAAAGACUAAGCAAAAAUAUUUCACUAUGUUACUGUCUUUCCCAGGAUUUUCAAAAGGGCAUUUGGAGUCCAGCUUCUUCAUGGAGAUGUCUCCCAGUAGUAAUAUCUUAUCAAUUUGAAGGAAGAACAAAGAGGGAGUUGCUUUUCUUUUAAAUGCAUGGACCUUACCGCGAUGAACUCUCAAUGCUGCAGGUUCUGAGGAUCAGGACUCUGGUAGUGGCCAGAGGGGUGGUUCUGGCUUGAGUGUCCCAUAAGAUUGCAGUCAAGAUAUCCACAGGGGCUGCCGUCAUUUGAAGCUUCAGCUGGGGGUGUGGAGGGUCCACAUCCAAGAUGCUCAGCCCCAUGCUGUUGGCUGGAGACCCCAGUUCCUCACUGUGGGAUGUUUCCAUUCCCAGUCAGUGGGCCUCUCCCAGGAGCUGCUUGCAACAUGGUAGCAAGGUUCUUCCAGAGCCAGUGAUUCAAGACAGAGCAAGGAGAAAGGCACUUGUCUUUUCUGAAUUACUCUCCGAAGCUGAAUACCAUCACACUGGCCACAUCCCAUUUGUUAGCGUUCCUAAAUUCAGCCCACAUUUAAGGGGAGGGGAAUGAGGUUCCUUUUUUUUUUCUUUUUCUUUUUAGGGCCACAUCUGCAACCUACGCCACAGCUUGU
Molecule: non-coding RNA, 685 nt
Organism: Sus scrofa (pig)
Lineage: Eukaryota; Metazoa; Chordata; Mammalia; Artiodactyla; Suidae
Source: RefSeq, a predicted model, not a curated record